UACGUAGGUGGCAAGCGUUAUCCGGAAUUAUUGGGCGUAAAGCGCGCGUAGGCGGUUUCUUAAGUCUGAUGUGAAAGCCCACGGCUCAACCGUGGAGGGUCAUUGGAAACUGGGAAACUUGAGUGCAGAAGAGGAAAGUGGAAUUCCAUGUGUAGCGGUGAAAUGCGCAGAGAUAUGGAGGAACACCAGUGGCGAAGGCGACUUUCUGGUCUGUAACUGACGCUGAUGUGCGAAAGCGUGGGGAUCAAACAGGAUUAGAUAC
Molecule: ribosomal RNA, 262 nt
Filed under: uncultured Staphylococcus sp.
Lineage: Bacteria; Bacillati; Bacillota; Bacilli; Caryophanales; Staphylococcaceae
Description: partial 16S ribosomal RNA
Rfam family: Bacterial small subunit ribosomal RNA
Source: RNAcentral